This 456-nucleotide ribosomal RNA is filed under the name uncultured bacterium. RNAcentral describes it as "bacterial SSU rRNA". It matches the Rfam family "Bacterial small subunit ribosomal RNA", at positions 340 to 786 of the family's 1533-position model. The record is from RNAcentral.
UACGGAAGGCAGCAGUGGGGAAUAUUGCACAAUGGGCGCAAGCCUGAUGCAGCCAUGCCGCGUGUAUGAAGAAGGCCUUCGGGUUGUAAAGUACUUUCAGUCGUGAGGAAGGUGUUAAGGUUAAUAACCUUAGCAAUUGACGUUAGCGACAGAAGAAGCACCGGCUAACUCCGUGCCAGCAGCCGCGGUAAUACGGAGGGUGCGAGCGUUAAUCGGAAUUACUGGGCGUAAAGGGCACGCAGGCGGUUAAUUAAGUUGGAUGUGAAAUCCCCGGGCUUAACCUGGGAAUGGCAUUCAAGACUGGUUAGCUAGAGUCUUGUAGAGGGGGUAGAAUUCCAUGUGUAGCGGUGAAAUGCGUAGAGAUGUGGAGGAAUACCGGUGGCGAAGGCGGGCCCCUGGGACAAAGGACUGACGCUCAUGUGCGAAAGCGUGGGGAGCAAACAGGGAUUAGAUACC